Tarenaya hassleriana is the source of this 304-nucleotide long non-coding RNA. RefSeq lists it as uncharacterized. The record is from RefSeq and is a predicted model, not a curated record. NCBI's taxonomy places the organism in Eukaryota, Viridiplantae, Streptophyta, Magnoliopsida, Brassicales, Cleomaceae. The transcript has 2 exons.
CACCGUCUUCUCCGGCGGCCGUUUCAUGCUUUCCCUGGCCGCUUCUCAGGCUCCUGACUACUCUUUCCACAAGAACCGUGAUGAAUUAGUUGAAUAGCGUAUCAACAAAUGGUGAAUCAAACUUCUCCAUAGAUGGCAUUGAAAUCAAGACUGUAAGAUUAUUCUGUAUCGCAGCCUUUUUCACAUAUGCUUGUUCUGUUUUCUCUUCUCGAUGUUUUGAGCCUCUUACUGUUUCCUGUUGCUAUGUUUGGUCAUUAAAGUGUAUAGACUAUUGUUUUAUUGAGUCCCUUGUCCAUUUUUUACC